AGAGUUUGAUCCUGGCUCAGAAUCAACGCUGGCGGCGCGCUUAACACAUGCAAGUCGCACGAGAAAGGGAGCAAUCCUGAGUAAAGUGGCGUACGGGUGAGUAACACGUGGAUCAUCUACCUUCUGGUGGGGAAUACCCCCGGGAAACUGGGGACAAUUCCGCAUAAGUCCGUGAGGAGAAAGCAGCAAUGCGCCGGAAG
This 200-nucleotide ribosomal RNA is filed under the name uncultured bacterium. RNAcentral's name for it is "partial 16S ribosomal RNA". It matches the Rfam family "Bacterial small subunit ribosomal RNA", at positions 8 to 224 of the family's 1533-position model. The record is from RNAcentral.